Molecule: ribosomal RNA, 795 nt
Filed under: Penicillium sp.
Lineage: Eukaryota; Fungi; Ascomycota; Eurotiomycetes; Eurotiales; Aspergillaceae
Description: SSU rRNA
Rfam family: Eukaryotic small subunit ribosomal RNA
Source: RNAcentral
GUACUGUGAAACUGCGAAUGGCUCAUUAAAUCAGUUAUCGUUUAUUUGAUAGUACCUUACUACAUGGAUACCUGUGGUAAUUCUAGAGCUAAUACAUGCUAAAAACCCCGACUUCAGGAAGGGGUGUAUUUAUUAGAUAAAAAACCAACGCCCUUCGGGGCUCCUUGGUGAAUCAUAAUAACUUAACGAAUCGCAUGGCCUUGCGCCGGCGAUGGUUCAUUCAAAUUUCUGCCCUAUCAACUUUCGAUGGUAGGAUAGUGGCCUACCAUGGUGGCAACGGGUAACGGGGAAUUAGGGUUCGAUUCCGGAGAGGGAGCCUGAGAAACGGCUACCACAUCCAAGGAAGGCAGCAGGCGCGCAAAUUACCCAAUCCCGAUACGGGGAGGUAGUGACAAUAAAUACUGAUACGGGGCUCUUUUGGGUCUCGUAAUUGGAAUGAGAACAAUUUAAAUCCCUUAACGAGGAACAAUUGGAGGGCAAGUCUGGUGCCAGCAGCCGCGGUAAUUCCAGCUCCAAUAGCGUAUAUUAAAGUUGUUGCAGUUAAAAAGCUCGUAGUUGAACCUUGGGUCUGGCUGGCCGGUCCGCCUCACCGCGAGUACUGGUCCGGCUGGACCUUUCCUUCUGGGGAACCUCAUGGCCUUCACUGGCUGUGGGGGGAACCAGGACUUUUACUGUGAAAAAAUUAGAGUGUUCAAAGCAGGCCUUUGCUCGAAUACAUUAGCAUGGAAUAAUAGAAUAGGACGUGUGGUUCUAUUUUGUUGGUUUCUAGGACCGCCGUAAUGAUUAAUAGGGAUA